GAUAUCAAUAAGAAAUUCAUCUCCCAUUCUCUCAUUCUCUUCUAUACAUUGCUAAUAUGUUCUAGUUAUUACACAACACGUUAUCAGCACGAAAGUGCUCGAAUCAUCAUUGGUUUUAAUCGUUGAUUAAAGUCUCGAUUGACCCAUGUCGUUGAUGAUGUUUUGUUGAUAAAAGUUUUGGUGGCCCUAGGUGUUUCCAACGAAUAUUGGAUUUCGUAGACAUGGCGAUUGAAAAGUGAUGGAGAUACUAUUUCCUUUAGUUAUUUCAAGGGACCAUUGUUGGGCACAAUGUGAAAUAUAGUGAGAGGCAUACGUAGUCGAGACGGAAUUCGUCGAUUGAUUAUAUCAAUUCAAAACCAACUGCUUAUCACAAAUACUCCCCAUUACAACUGGUCUCCUGAAGAGAACCAAGUUUCCAUUUUUUUUAUAUAUUUUGUUGUGCAGCCUAUGUACCAAUAGCACCACCAUAACAUAUAAAAUGGGAUAUAUACAUCGUAUUCCCAGUCUUAGGGGGAGACAAGAAAAUGAAAGACUGGUAACAUAAAAAAUGCAUCAUAUUAUAUAUCGACCCCUGAAGUGGUCAAUGCAAAUCUGAAGUCCAAAAGAAAGAGCGUGUAUUUCCAAAUAAUAACAAAUGAAAUACAAGAUGCAUUCACUGACACAAAUAAGGUGACAAAGUCACGUAUACCAGCUUAAGCUUAUCUGCUCGAAUGGAAGUACUAACAAAAUGAUUAUCAUAUUAAUAAAUUGUGAGAGAUAAAUCGGUUCCAAAAAGAUAAAACCCACAAACACAAAAAGAGCGGAGUAACGCAGUUGGUGUAACCCCAAAAGAGGUGGCACACAAAACACCAUAAGUGGUUGCAUACAAAACCCCAGAAGUGGUUGCAUACUAAACCUUAAAGAAGGUUGUUGUCAAAACCCCAAAAGAGGCUAAUGGAGUUCUAAAAGAAACUCUAGUACCAAACAAAUAUGAGAUCGCGAUGAAUUAUGUACAAAAUAAGUACAAUAUGGAACCGUAAUGAAACACGAUUAAAAUAAUAUAUUUGAUUAUGCUAUAGCAAUAGAUGUAAUCGAUGAAAAAAAAGGAUUACAUAUAUAGAAAGUGUGCAAGAGUGUACGCACACAAAUAGCCAAAAUGGCUACAUGACUUAAGGUUGAACUAAAUUUGCUCGACAAACUAAACGUUUUCGAACCAGCAGUUCGAACACCCAUAGACGUCAAACCAGUAGGUUAUAAAUGGGUGCCUUUAAAUAAAAGGAAACGUAAAUAAUGAGUUUUUGCGAUGUAAGGAACGCAUUUUAACAUAAAGAUUUUUCCCAAAUCCCAGCAGUUGAUUACGAGGAAACGUAUACCCCUGUAGUGGAUGCGAUAAUCUUUAGAUUUUAAGCGGCCUCACAAUCUCAGAAUGACUUCAGAUAAAACAACUUAUGGAUGUCAUCACCGUAUACAUGUACGAGACAAUUGCAGAUGACAUCUGUAUGAAAACCCCUGAAGGAUUAAAAAUGCUCAAAGCAUUAUGAAACAAUAACCCCAUAUGUGUUAUAUAUAUGAAUCUUAAAGGAAACUACUCGUAUGUGGUACAGUCGACUAUACUCUGAAAAGAGAUGUAUAAUUUUGAUAAAAUGAGCUACAUCUAUUUAACAAGAUUUCACUUUUACAGUGAUGAUGUAAACAUCAUCGAGAGGGAACUCUCAAACUAAAGAGGAAAAUUUCGAAUGACCUUUACAAAGUGUAGUUAUCCUCGACCUGUAGUUUCGAGUAUAUAUGUACUAUUUUUGCUCAUCAAUCUGACUACAUCUAGAAGAUGUUAUAUAGAAAAAGCUCAUUCGUUGAGUACAUGAACGAUUGUCUGAUCGCUUGACAUAGAAAACAUAUUCUUAUCAACCCCAAGAAAAGGAUGUUGAACUGCUUAGUCAAGAAGUACCAUACUUAAUUGCGAUCAGAGCAUUGACGUAUCUUGCAAACAAGACGACAUCUGAUAUUACGUUGUAUUGGUUUUCAACGUGGCAGAAUUAUAAAGCGCAUUAAAUAAUUAUUUGACAUAUUUACAAACUCGAGACACGGGAUAGUUCCACAAGAACAAUAUGGCGUCCUGGGUUAUGAUUGAUAUAUAUUAGACUCGCAUAGAGUUCGAUCUCAAUCCAGAUACAAGUUAUGAAGGUCGAAGAUUUCAUCAUAUUUAAGAAGUAUGUAGAUUAGAGUUGAUCAAGAGAAGCUCAAGCUAUACUGUAUGAAGACAAUGUAAGACAACAACACCCAAAUCAAAGAAGACUACGUCAAAUAUCAAGUCAAGCAAUUGUCACAGAAGAUUGGAUUCAACAUCAUCAAGAUAUACAAGUAAAAUUGAGAGGGAGUAACGUACCCAUAAUAUACACAGUGUAUGUACUCUUUUUCCUUAAUGAGGCAAUAUACCUGAUCCAGAAGUAUCAGGGGGAGACAAUACGCGAUGCACUCUUUUUCCCUUAGCUGAGGUUUUGUCCCACUGGGGUUUCAUAGCAAGGUUUUUAAUGAGGCAGCAUCACCAAGCGUAUUAAAGAAUAGUAUAUCAUCAUGUGGAUAGUCAAGAGGGAGUGUUAUGAAUGCAUCCAUUAUUAGUGACUAUCCACAUUUCUAACUCCCAUGUCAUAUUUAUGUUUGUAUUAAUGUUAUAGCCUAUAUAUAGUGGCU
RNAcentral lists this long non-coding RNA (2667 nucleotides) under Helianthus annuus (common sunflower). RNAcentral's name for it is "hypothetical non coding rna". The record is from RNAcentral. Lineage: Eukaryota; Viridiplantae; Streptophyta; Magnoliopsida; Asterales; Asteraceae.